CCAAUAGCGUAUAUUAAAGUUGUUGCAGUUAAAAAGCUCGUAGUUGAAUUUCGGGAUUAGUACGUUGGUCGUGCCUUGGUACGUACUGGUGUAACUGAUUCCUCCCUUCUGACGAACCGUUAUGCCAUUAAUUUGGUGUGGCGGGAAAUCAGGACUGUUACUUUGAAAAAAUUAGAGUGUUUAAAGCAGGCUCGCGCUUGAAUACAUUAGCAUGGAAUAAUGAAAUAGGACGUUAAUCGUAUUUUGUUGGUUUCUAGGAUAGACGUAAUGAUUAAUAGGGAUAGUUGGGGGCAUUAGUAUUCAAUUGUCAGAGGUGAAAUUCUUGGAUUUAUUGAAGACUAACUACUGCGAAAGCAUUUGCCAAGGAUGUUUUCAUUAAUCAAGAACGAAAGUUGGGGGAUCGAAGACGAUCAGAUACCGUCGUAGUCUUAACCAUAAACUAUGCCGACUAGGGAUCGGAUGAUGUUAAUUUUUUAAUGACUCAUUCGGCGCCUUACG
RNAcentral lists this unclassified non-coding RNA (498 nucleotides) under uncultured Glomus. RNAcentral describes it as "SSU rRNA". It matches the Rfam family "Eukaryotic small subunit ribosomal RNA", at positions 591 to 1092 of the family's 1831-position model. The record is from RNAcentral. Lineage: Eukaryota; Fungi; Glomeromycota; Glomeromycetes; Glomerales; Glomeraceae.